AGUGAACGCUGGCGGCAGGCCUAACACAUGCAAGUCGAGCGGCAGCGCGGGGGCAACCCUGGCGGCGAGCGGCGGACGGGUGAGGAAUUCGUCGGAAUCUGCCUUUUUGUGGGGGAUAACGUAGGGAAACUUACGCUAAUACCGCAUACGUCCUACGGGAGAAAGUGGGGGACCGCAAAGCCUCACGCAGAAAGAUGAGCCGACGACCGAUUAGCUAGUUGGUGGGGUAAAGGCCCACCAAGGCGACGAUCGGUAGCUGGUCUGAGAGGAUGAUCAGCCACACUGGGACUGAGACACGGCCCAGACUCCUACGGGAGGCAGCAGUGGGGAAUAUUGGACAAUGGGCGCAAGCCUGAUCCAGCCAUGCCGCGUGUGUGAAGAAGGCCUUCGGGUUGUAAAGCACUUUUGUCCGGAAAGAAAUCCCUGGAGCUAAUACCUUCGGGGGAUGACGGUACCGGAAGAAUAAGCACCGGCUAACUUCGUG
RNAcentral lists this ribosomal RNA (484 nucleotides) under uncultured bacterium. RNAcentral's name for it is "partial 16S ribosomal RNA". It matches the Rfam family "Bacterial small subunit ribosomal RNA", at positions 29 to 507 of the family's 1533-position model. The record is from RNAcentral.